Molecule: non-coding RNA, 72 nt
Organism: Phrynosoma platyrhinos (Desert horned lizard)
Lineage: Eukaryota; Metazoa; Chordata; Lepidosauria; Squamata; Phrynosomatidae
Source: the annotation of a GenBank genome assembly
GCCAGUGUGUUGUAGUGAUUUGAGUGCUGAACUAUGACUCCAGACACCAGGGUUCAAUUCCCAGCAAAGGCA